ACUGAAUAGAUACCCAGGUAGUCCAUGCUGUAAACGAUGAGAACUAGAUGUUAGGGGGCAUGACCUCUUAGUAUCGAAGCUAACGCGAUAAGUUCUCCGCCUGGGGAGUACGGCCGCAAGGUUAAAACUCAAAGAAAUUGACGGGGGCCCGCACAAGCGGUGGAGCAUGUGGUUUAAUUCGAUGCAACGCGAAGAACCUUACCUACCUUUGAAUCCACGGAACCUAGCAGAGAUGUUGGGGUGCCUUCGGGAACCGUGAGACAGGUGCUGCAUGGCUGUCGUCAGCUCGUGUCGUGAGAUGUUGGGUUAAGUCCCGUAACGAGCGCAACCCUUGUCCUUAGUUGCCAUCAGGUUAUGCUGGGCACUUUAAGGAGACUGCCGGUGAUAAACCGGAGGAAGGUGGGGAUGACGUCAAGUCCUCAUGGCCCUUACAGGUAGGGCUACACACGUGCUACAAUGGGCAGUACAGAGGGAAGCCAACCCGCGAGGGGUAGCGAAUCUCAUAAAGCUGUUCGUAGUCCGGAUUGGAGUCUGCAACUC
RNAcentral lists this ribosomal RNA (540 nucleotides) under uncultured bacterium. RNAcentral's name for it is "bacterial SSU rRNA". It matches the Rfam family "Bacterial small subunit ribosomal RNA", at positions 772 to 1313 of the family's 1533-position model. The record is from RNAcentral.